GCACAAUGGAAGCCCUUGUGCCUUAAGCUGGGUGCCCGUUAUGGCUGUUCCCAACUCUGUGUGAGUGUCCUCUCUCCAACCUCCCACCGGGUCUCUACUUCAGCAUUUUAUUUGUGGCAAUCAAGGAAAUAACAUGAAUAAAGUGCUAAUAAGCUCUGAAAUGCUCGCCAAAUGUUUAUCAUUUAAAAAGGGAGAUUUGGCAACACAGUUUAAUGCCACAUAAACGUCGAUCAGUUUUGCCCAUCACCAUUGGAAAUUGUGACAUUCAAAAUGCCUGCUAAUGUUUCCAUUUACUAAUCUUUUUGCUAAUAAGCUACUUCACAUAAUCAACAUUCCCAGAUAUUAAGAUCUGCUAUCAAGACAUGCCGACACUUUCCUUCUCAUUCAGGGUUGGGUAGGAUGCCCCCUGAGAGGCACCGAAGGGUGAUUGAACGACUCAGAGGUGGAAUGCGGAAUGUAAUCUAGUGGCACUGAAAAGUGGUGCUGUCAGAAAUUACAUCCAACUUUCUAAUGCAGCUUAAAUGAUGUUGAAUUAGCUGCUGUAGUGGCAUUAUGUUAUGUCUUAACAUUGCUGUAAUGAAUCUGACCAGGAAGGAAGUCCCACCUAUGGAGAGCAAUAGUAACAAAAAGGUCCAAUAGGAUUUGUGAGCUAUGUUUUGGAAAUGAUAAAGACAACAUGUUUUAUAAAUGUAAAGAAAUUUCUGGUCACCUUUGUAGCUUAUCUGAGAAAACUGGGCACAUAAUUUAUAGCCUGGAUUGCCAUUUGAAGUAAAACGCAGUCAGAUUGCAAGAACUGAGAUUUGAGCCAUAGAACUGAUAACAGAGUUGAUGGAGCCCCAAGUGAAGACAUGCAAAUUGAUGGACGUGGAUUUCCUGCAUUUAGAUUUCCAAGAUGAGCAACAAGAAAGAACCCUCUGGAAUCUCAAAAUAGAUAAAUCAAAAAGCCUAGCCUCAGUGAUUUAAGGAGUUCAGUAAACUGACCUAUAAAUAAAGCCAGCUGAAAGAAGUUUGGAACA
RNAcentral lists this long non-coding RNA (1016 nucleotides) under Vulpes vulpes (red fox). Its description in RNAcentral is "lncRNA (ENSVVUG00000024487.1)". The record is from RNAcentral. Lineage: Eukaryota; Metazoa; Chordata; Mammalia; Carnivora; Canidae.